GGAUUAGAUACCCUGGUAGUCCUAGCUGUAAACGAUGGAUACUAGACGUAGGAACUGGAUUGACGGUUUCUGUGUCGCAGCUAACGCGUUAAGUAUCCCGCCUGGGAAGUACGGCCGCAAGGCUAAAACUCAAAUGAAUUGACGGGGACCCGCACAAGCGGUGGAUCAUGUGGUUUAAUUCGAAGAUACGCGAAGAACCUUACCGGCUCUUGACAUACCAAUCGCGGACUUAAGAGAUUGAGUCUUUCACUUCGGGUGGAUUGGAUACAGGUGCUGCAUGGCUGUCGUCAGCUCGUGCCG
RNAcentral lists this ribosomal RNA (300 nucleotides) under uncultured bacterium. RNAcentral describes it as "bacterial SSU rRNA". It matches the Rfam family "Bacterial small subunit ribosomal RNA", at positions 775 to 1067 of the family's 1533-position model. The record is from RNAcentral.